This 263-nucleotide ribosomal RNA is filed under the name uncultured bacterium. RNAcentral describes it as "partial 16S ribosomal RNA". The stretch from base 42 to 263 matches the Rfam family "Bacterial small subunit ribosomal RNA", at positions 100 to 339 of the family's 1533-position model. The record is from RNAcentral.
AUGCUAGCAAUAGUCCUGGUAGAAAGAGUGCGGGGAGCGGCGAACGGCUGAGGAACACAUUGGAACCUGCCCUAGACUCAGGGAUAACCCCGCGAAAGCGGGGCUAAUACCGGAUGGUCUCGCGAGAGUAAAGCUUUUGCGGUCUGGGAGGGGCCUGCGGCCUAUCAGUUAGUUGGUGAGGUAAUAGCUCACCAAGGCUAUGACGGAUACCUGGUCUGAGAGGAUGAUCAGGCACAAUGGAACUGAGACACGGUCCAUACUCC